RNAcentral lists this ribosomal RNA (426 nucleotides) under Streptococcus mitis. RNAcentral's name for it is "bacterial SSU rRNA". It matches the Rfam family "Bacterial small subunit ribosomal RNA", at positions 28 to 445 of the family's 1533-position model. Lineage: Bacteria; Bacillati; Bacillota; Bacilli; Lactobacillales; Streptococcaceae. The record is from RNAcentral.
GACGAACGCUGGCGGCGUGCCUAAUACAUGCAAGUAGAACGCUGAAGGAGGAGCUUGUUUCUCUGGAUGAGUUGCGAACGGGUGAGUAACGCGUAGGUAACCUGCCUGGUAGCGGGGGAUAACUAUUGGAAACGAUAGCUAAUACCGCAUAAUAGCAGUUAUUGCAUGAUAACUGUUUGAAAGGUGCAAUUGCACCACUACCAGAUGGACCUGCGUUGUAUUAGCUAGUUGGUGGGGUAACGGCUCACCAAGGCGACGAUACAUAGCCGACCUGAGAGGGUGAUCGGCCACACUGGGACUGAGACACGGCCCAGACUCCUACGGGUGGCAGCAGUAGGGAAUCUUCGGCAAUGGACGGAAGUCUGACCGAGCAACGCCGCGUGAGUGAAGAAGGUUUUCGGAUCGCUAAAGCUCUGUUGUAAGAGA